GAUGAACGCUGGCGGCGUGCCUAAUACAUGCAAGUCGAGCGAACAGACGAGGAGCUUGCUCCUCUGACGUUAGCGGCGGACGGGUGAGUAACACGUGGAUAACCUACCUAUAAGACUGGGAUAACUUCGGGAAACCGGAGCUAAUACCGGAUAAUAUAUUGAACCGCAUGGUUCAAUAGUGAAAGACGGUUUUGCUGUCACUUAUAGAUGGAUCCGCGCCGCAUUAGCUAGUUGGUAAGGUGACGGCUUACCAAGGCAACGAUGCGUAGCCGACCUGAGAGGGUGAUCGGCCACACUGGAACUGAGACACGGUCCAGACUCCUACGGGAGGCAGCAGUAGGGAAUCUUCCGCAAUGGGCGAAAGCUUGACGGAGCAACGCCGCGUGAGUGAUGAAGGUCUUCGGAUCGUAAAACUCUGUUAUUAGGGAAGAACAAAUGUGUAAGUAACUAUGCACGUCUUGACGGUACCUAAUCAGAAAGCCACGGCUAACUACGUG
RNAcentral lists this ribosomal RNA (497 nucleotides) under uncultured bacterium. Its description in RNAcentral is "partial 16S ribosomal RNA". It matches the Rfam family "Bacterial small subunit ribosomal RNA", at positions 28 to 507 of the family's 1533-position model. The record is from RNAcentral.